RNAcentral lists this transfer RNA (74 nucleotides) under Trachylepis tandrefana. RNAcentral describes it as "tRNA-Gln". Lineage: Eukaryota; Metazoa; Chordata; Lepidosauria; Squamata; Scincidae. The record is from RNAcentral.
ACAGGAUACGAACCUGUACCCAAGAACUCAAAAUCCUCCGUACUACCAUUAUACUACCUUCUAGUAAAGUCAGC